UUGGGGUUGGAGUAGGUCUCCGGACCCCCACCCCCACCACCGCCACCCGACUGCGGUAUGCCUGGUAAUGUGCGUGGUGCAUCGGUUAGCGUGACGUCAACUCAGCUUGGCGGAACCGCCACUUACACGUGUAACCUUGGUUACGGUUACACAGGUGGUGACCUCACACGCACGUUUCAGUCCUCGGCUCAAUGGAGCGGAACCGAACCAGUUUGCGUUUAUAUGAAUUCGUGCAACAGCUUCCCUUGUAAGAAUGGCGGCACAUGUACAAACAAGCCCGAGAGUUAUAUGUGUUCUUGUCCUGAUAUCUGGAAAGGAACCAAUGGCGAGCAAGA
Molecule: long non-coding RNA, 335 nt
Organism: Dreissena polymorpha
Lineage: Eukaryota; Metazoa; Mollusca; Bivalvia; Myida; Dreissenidae
Exons: 3
Source: RefSeq, a predicted model, not a curated record